AACGAACGCUGGCGGCAGGCCUAACACAUGCAAGUCGAGCGAGGACUUCGGUCCUAGCGGCGGACGGGUGAGUAACGCGUGGGAACGUUCCCUUUGCUUCGGAAUACCUCUGGGAAACUGGGAGUAAUACCGGAUGAGCCCUUUGGGGGAAAGAUUUAUCGGCGAAGGAUCGGCCCGCGUUGGAUUAGGUAGUUGGUGGGGUAAUGGCAUACCAAGCCGACGAUCCAUAGCUGGUUUGAGAGGAUGAUCAGCCACACUGGGACUGAGACACGGCCCAGAAUCCUACGGGAGGCAGCAGUGGGGGAUCUUAGACAAUGGGGGGAACCCUGAUCUAGCCAUGCCGCGUGAGCGAUGAAGGCAUUAGGGUUGUAAAGCUCUUUCAGCUGGGAAGAUAAUGACGGUACCAGCAGAAGAAGCCCCGGCUAACUACGUG
This 433-nucleotide ribosomal RNA is filed under the name uncultured bacterium. Its description in RNAcentral is "partial 16S ribosomal RNA". It matches the Rfam family "Bacterial small subunit ribosomal RNA", at positions 29 to 507 of the family's 1533-position model. The record is from RNAcentral.